Molecule: ribosomal RNA, 253 nt
Filed under: uncultured bacterium
Lineage: Bacteria
Description: partial 16S ribosomal RNA
Rfam family: Bacterial small subunit ribosomal RNA
Source: RNAcentral
UACGUAGGGGGCUAGCGUUGUCCGGAAUCAUUGGGCGUAAAGCGCGUGUAGGCGGUCCGGUAAGUCCGCUGUGAAAGUCGGGGGCUCAACCCUCGGAUGCCGGUGGAUACUGUCGGGCUAGAGUGCGGGAGAGGCGAGUGGAAUUCCUGGUGUAGCGGUGAAAUGCGCAGAUAUCAGGAGGAACACCAAUGGCGAAGGCAGCUCGCUGGGACGGUACUGACGCUGAGGCGCGAAAGCGUGGGGAGCAAACAGG